GGCGCAGGAGCCAGAAACGACGACGCACCGUCGUCGUACGGUCGUUUUCCCGAUCGAACCUCAAAUCCCUCUGCGUUUUAGCGCCGGCAGUCCAUCGAGUCAAUUUCAUCGAUCUUGAAGAAGAAGAAGGAAGAAGAAGAAGAGGAAGAAGAAGGAGAUGGCGUUGUUCACGAGAGGAGAGCCGCUGGUCGCGAAGCUCGCGGCGCUGGCCAAGUACGUGGUGCUUCCCGGCGCCAUGGCGGCCGCCGUCAUCUACUCGCCUCCCGACUACGCUUCCUCCUCCAACAAGGAAAGCAAAUCCACCAAAUAAAUCCCCCCCUUCUCUCUUCGCAGGUGGAUGGAGUCUGCAUUCCAUGGUUGAUCUUUGGAAGAUGGAUGUAUGCUUUGCUUCUGGGUGAUGGCUUGGCAUCUUUUCACUGCAGGCAGUCCGGGCCAUCAUGCAGACUUUUGAUGUUGUGGCAAACUUCGCUUCACAUUUCUGUGUAAUAUGACACUUAAUAAUUCAGAUGGCUUGUGAUCACCAUAAAUUGCAGAGACAUUCCAAAAAUCGUGUAGGUAUCCAUUUCUGAGUUCUUAAUCUUUUCUUGUUGCUUGAUGUUUUUGUUACGACGUCUUCAGUCAGCGUAUCUGAGUGGCCAAGGCGAAGAUAGCAGAGUACCUUUAUCGUAUGUGCCAUGAUGUGCGUGCUGCAUUAGUUUUAGUGUGGUCGUGUAUGAAAGCUGAACUUUUCGUUUUUUGUUGUUUGCUUUUUCCGGUAGGUUAAGUUGAAUGAUUCUUACUCAACUGGAAGUUGUGGCUCCCUGCAAAUAAUUCCUUGAUGGUCUCUCUACCCCUCGCAAAACAGGGGAGUCCUAGGUGAAUAUAUUCUUUGAAAUUGGUCAUUCGUUAGUUGGCAGGCCACAAUUAGAUACGAUGAUGAGUAGAUCCAAAGCCUGUUAAAAGAACUAAUCUUAAAGACUCCGUUUGACGUGAAAAACGCAUUAUGUUUACACCUCAUCCCGUUUAACCCACUCGAUCCUCCCUUCUCUACUCUGGGAAAUAGAGAAACAAUGGCUGCUCCUGCACUCUUUGCGCUCCUCCCUUCGUUUCUCUCUUUUUUUGCAAUCUUGGUCUCAGCCAGCGAUAUCUCUAUCGUGAGCUACUCUGAGGAUGAUUUGAAAUCCAUUGAUAAGCUCCUCGAUCUCUCUGAGGAAAAGAUGUGGAGAUUCGAGGCGUUCAAGGAGAACUCGAAGCACAUCGAAAACACUUAAAAGAAGGUGACCAACUCUUGGAUUGAUUUGAAUAAAUUUUGCCAAUUGGGCCCAGGAAGAGUUCAUGGGGGUGUGUCCAGGAUGCAAGAUCGAGUCACUCAAGAAGGAAGAUUCCCGCAAUGAAUUUAUUCGCGAGGAUGUCGUGGAUUCACCCAAGUCUGUGGAUUAGAGAAAGAAAGGAGCCGUCGCUCAUGUCAAGAACCAUGGUUCAUGUGCGAGUUGCUGGGCAUUUUCCAUUGUAGCGGCGGUAGAGAGCAUAAACUAAAUAGUGACCGGAAACUGGACAGCGUCAUCUGAGCAAGAGCUGUUUGACUGACAAACCAAACGACAACGGGUGUAACGGCGGUCUUACUGACUAUGCAUCGUCUUAAUUGGUGGAACAUACAAGGAAGAGGACUACCCUUAUAUCAUGGAGAAGGGUACCUGUGAGAUGACCAAAGAUUAAAAGGCGGUAGCGACAAUCGAUGGUUACCAUGAUGUGCCUGGGAACAACGAAGAGAGCCUCCUAAAGGCUCUCGCAAAGCAGGCACUCAGCGUGGCCAUCGAAGCAGAGGGUUGCGAUGCCUAUGCUAUAAACAUGGAGAUUAUUAAUUUCUUCAUACUCGGUAGGGAGUUUUUAAUGGACAUCGCGGUAGGGAGUUGGAUCAUGGGGUGGCAGCCAUUGGACACGCAAGGGGUGCUUCUUGUGGGUCAUGUGGCCCAACUCCAUGCGAAAGAAGGCGGCGGCAUCGUCUCGGAGGAGCUGAGGGAGGCGACGUCGGAGAGGGGGUGUAUCGUAGAGUGGGCUCGCAAGAGAAGGUUUGCACCAGGACGCCGUUGUGACAUUCUUGACCCGCAUUGGUGGUACUUGAUGGUCGAGAUUGUGGUCGAUAGGAAGGUGAUGGUGUGCUGGCCGUUCUUUGCUGACCAGCAGGUGAACAGCCAGCUUGGGAGCCACGCAAGGAAGUUUGGGGUCGACAAUGAUAUGUGCAAACCCUGCGCGAUGAUCAUCUUCAGACUACAUUUUACCCUAAGUCGUCAGAACACAAUCAGCUAG
Molecule: RNA transcript, 2286 nt
Organism: Eucalyptus grandis
Lineage: Eukaryota; Viridiplantae; Streptophyta; Magnoliopsida; Myrtales; Myrtaceae
Gene name: cysteine protease XCP2-like
Exons: 6
Source: RefSeq, a predicted model, not a curated record